RNAcentral lists this ribosomal RNA (451 nucleotides) under uncultured bacterium. RNAcentral describes it as "partial 16S ribosomal RNA". It matches the Rfam family "Bacterial small subunit ribosomal RNA", at positions 29 to 523 of the family's 1533-position model. The record is from RNAcentral.
AACGAACGCUGGCGGUAUGCUUAACACAUGCAAGUCGAACGGGUGUAGCAAUACAUCAGUGGCAAACGGGUGAGUAAUGUAGAGGAAUCUCCCCAACAGUACGGAAUAACUCUGGGAAACCAGUGCUAAUACCGUAUAUUCCCUCCGGGGGAAAGAUUUAUCGCUGUUGGAUGAGCCUCUAUCGGAUUAGCUAGUUGGUGGGGUAAAUGCCCACCAAGGCGAUGAUCCGUAGCUGGUCUGAGAGGAUGAUCAGCCACACUGGAACUGAGACACGGUCCAGACUCCUACGGGAGGCAGCAGUGGGGAAUAUCGGACAAUGGGCGAAAGCCUGAUCCAGCAAUACCGCGUGAGUGAUGAAGGUCUUCGGAUUGUAAAGCUCUUUUAGUGGGGAAGAUAAUGACGGUACCCACAGAAAAAGCACCGGCAAACUUCGUGCCAGCAGCCGCAGUAA